GAACGCUAGCUACAGGCUUAACACAUGCAAGUCGAGGGGAAACGGCAUUAAGUGCUUGCACUUUUUGGACGUCGACCGGCGCACGGGUGAGUAACGCGUAUCCAACCUUCCCAUGACUAAGGGAUAACCUGCCGAAAGGCAGACUAAUACCUUAUGGUCUUCACUGACGGCAUCAGAUGUGAAGUAAAGAUUUAUCGGUUAUGGAUGGGGAUGCGUCUGAUUAGCUUGUUGGCGGGGUAACGGCCCACCAAGGCAACGAUCAGUAGGGGUUCUGAGAGGAAGGUCCCCCACAUUGGAACUGAGACACGGUCCAAACUCCUACGGGAGGCAGCAGUGAGGAAUAUUGGUCAAUGGGCGAGAGCCUGAACCAGCCAAGUAGCGUGCAGGAUGACGGCCCUAUGGGUUGUAAACUGCUUUUGUAUGGGGAUAAAGUCAAUCACGUGUGAUUGUUUGCAGGUACCAUACGAAUAAGGACCGGCUAAUUCCGUG
This 489-nucleotide ribosomal RNA is filed under the name uncultured bacterium. Its description in RNAcentral is "partial 16S ribosomal RNA". It matches the Rfam family "Bacterial small subunit ribosomal RNA", at positions 31 to 507 of the family's 1533-position model. The record is from RNAcentral.